UACGUAGGGGGCAAGCGUUGUCCGGAAUCAUUGGGCGUAAAGCGCGUGUAGGCGGCCCGAUAAGUCCGCUGUGAAAGUCCAGGGCUCAACCCUGGGAUGCCGGUGGAUACUGUCGGGCUCGAGUCCGGAAGAGGCGAGUGGAAUUCCUGGUGUAGCGGUGAAAUGCGUAGAUAUCUGGAGGAAUACCGGUGGCGAAGGCGGCAUCCUGGACCGGCAUUGACGCUGAGGAGCGAAAGCUAGGGGAGCAAACGGG
Molecule: ribosomal RNA, 253 nt
Filed under: uncultured bacterium
Lineage: Bacteria
Description: partial 16S ribosomal RNA
Rfam family: Bacterial small subunit ribosomal RNA
Source: RNAcentral